CAAUCUUCGCUCCGUUUCCAAUUGAUGAUAACCUUUCAGUCCAAUCGGUCUCCGACACUCUUUCUCUGUCCAAAAGCUCUAAAAUAUGUGUCGAAAUAAUGAUGUCCCGUCCAAAGGGUUGCUAGGGCUUUUAUAGGCUUCUCGUCCCGAUCCAAGAGGAAAAAUGAUUAAAAAUCCGUCUGGCGUGGAACACCCCCUCGGACACGCCGUGCUCCUGGCCGUGUUCAGCCCCUGUGACUUUUAGCCCAUUUUUUCAUCAUCAGGACAUGCCGUGUUCCAUAUGGAACACGCCUUGGGACACGCCGUGUUCUACGCCGUGUUCCUCCCCUGUAAGUUUUUCGCCCUUUUUCACGCGCGGAACACGUCGUGUUCCUGUCCAGCUGCUCUUAAUCAGUCUGUUUCCGCUCCCGCUUAUCCUCAAACACCGUGUAUUGCCUGAAAAUGUAUCAAAAACACACCGUACACGUAAUAUGGCCCCCAGGGGCAAGAGAACGAACAUGUGCUAGAGAUCCAGGGUUUAAACACUUUUCGACACACAAAAGGCUCAUUUUACAAUGAAAAAGGUGUGUCGAAUAUGCAACACAUCAUUAAACGUGUUAAAAAUGAAAAAGAAACCACUAUCAUGAAAAUUCAUAGUGACAAUGGAGGUGAAUUUGUGAACAAGGAUUUCAGUGACUUAUGUAAUAGUUUAGGAAUUCAACAUGUCUUUUCUGCUCCGAGAUCUCCUCAACAAAAUGGAGUAGUCGAAUGAAAGAAUCGUACCUUAGUUGAAAUUCCUCGAACAAUGUUAAAUGACUCCAACAUUCCUUUAAAGUUCUGGGGUGAAGCGGUUAACACUUCCUGUUAUAUUAUUAAUAGAGCUAUUGUUAGAUCUAAGAUUAAUAAACCCCCCUAUGAACUGUGGAAAGGUAGAAAGCCUCACAAUGGAUACUUUCGUCCCUUUGGAUGUAAGUGUUUCAUCUUGAACACUACGGAUAACCUUGGUAAAUUUGAUGCCAAAUCCGAUCAAGGACUAUUUCUAGGAUAUUCUGAUCAUAGUAGGGCUUAUCGCAUUUAUAAUAAACGGAGUAUGAGAGUUGAAGAAUCUAUUAACAUUUUAUUUGAUGAGUCUCUAUGUGAGGAUGUCUCUCUGCAGGAUGUUGAUGACGUAGACUCAGCCUAAAAGUUCCAGUUCAUGCACCUGUGAAUUUUACCUAUCAUGAAAUGGGAAACGGAACUUUGUAAGCCCAUACAGUCCAAUAUAGAAGCAAGCACAUGCAUAUGAUCUGAAGCAAUCACUCAUCUUGAAUUAGGAGAACUUGAGUAAGAAUCGACAUAAGAGAGCUUGUUAAGUCCAAUUACAGAUUCAAAACGUUGUUACUGCAAACACAUACAAAGAAGGAUUUAAAUAACUCUAUCCAUCUCAAAAUAUAGAUUUUUGAAAGUGGAUUUCAUAAUACGGAAAGAUGAGAUAUUGCACAUGAUUCUCUAUUACAGAGUAUACCUUUGGAAAAAAGUUUAUCAAGGACAUGAAUUUCACAACUUUAGUUCCAAUUCAUAGGGUAACAUCUGCCCGCAAAACCAUACCCAAGCGAGUUAGCCACUACACCAGCACUACUUCACCAGAGACUUUGAAAAUAAUUGUUGAAUGAUAUAAACACUUUUCUUUGAUCGAAAAGCAGCGGAAACAGAAAUCAGAAGGAAGAACAUAAACAACAGUGGGAAAAGCAACAAAGAAAUAAAAAUCGAGAAACUGAGUACCUCGGCGGAACACACAUCGGGAGCUGGUUGGAGGGUAUUAGGAUGAGAGAUAUAGGGGCGAUGGUGAAUGCUUAGGUCGGAGAAGGAAAGAGGAGCCAAGGAGCAGGAAGAGAGGGAGCGAAGAUCCGAUUUGGGGAAAAGAAAAAAGGGGCUGCAAUGUUGUUGAGGUUGGG
RNAcentral lists this long non-coding RNA (1913 nucleotides) under Linum usitatissimum (flax). RNAcentral describes it as "long non-coding RNA (LUSI_LNC003553)". The record is from RNAcentral. Lineage: Eukaryota; Viridiplantae; Streptophyta; Magnoliopsida; Malpighiales; Linaceae.